UACGAAAGAGGACGCUAGCCA
Molecule: non-coding RNA, 21 nt
Filed under: Caenorhabditis elegans
Lineage: Eukaryota; Metazoa; Nematoda; Chromadorea; Rhabditida; Rhabditidae
Source: RNAcentral